This is a long non-coding RNA of Panicum virgatum (switchgrass), 5226 nucleotides long. RefSeq lists it as uncharacterized. NCBI's taxonomy places the organism in Eukaryota, Viridiplantae, Streptophyta, Magnoliopsida, Poales, Poaceae. The record is from RefSeq and is a predicted model, not a curated record. The transcript is spliced from 8 exons.
UAUUUCCUUCUGCGCGUCGCCCUUUCCCUCCCCAUCCAUCCGACCACCACGCCCUCCCCCUCGCGACGCGCCUUCCCCCGACGCCGCCUCCACCCAACACUGCCUCCACCCGAUGCCUUCCCUCGCGAGGUUGAGGCAGAUGCCGGGCCGGUGAGCUCCGAGCUCCGGCGGCGGCGGCGGCCGGAUCCAGCGCUACGUCGGCAGCCGCCGGCCAAGGCAGCGGGGGCCGGUGCAAGCAGUUCCGAGGAGGCCGGCGCGGGCGACGACGCGCAAGCGGGGCUAGCCGCCAAUCUCGGCUUGGAUGGCGCCGCAGCCACCGCCAUCGCUGGACUACUGCCUGGGCUUCUUCAGCAGCGCGCAAGCGAGCAUCUUCAAUGCCAUCGACGCCGCUGCCUGCAGGCCAAGGCGCGUCACCUCUUCCUCUCCGUUGCCGCUGGUGGCUCAUCUACAUGACCGGAUCUGACUGAUAUGGCAUCGUCGACAGUGGCUGAGGACGCCACCAUCGAAGAACAGCUCCGCCCAAACAGGGAGAGCUUUAUUUCUUUGAUGAUUACAACCGAAAACCUUAAGCUGUGUUUAUACUAGGCGCUAUGCUAACUGGACAAACACAGAUCCCUGAAAUUAAGGAUGUGGACCUUAAGCUGCCUUUAUACUAGGCGCUAUACUAACGUUAGGCUGCAUAUUUACUCAGUGUGCUGCCAUUCUGUUAUUUUGUGCAGGACUCCUCCACUAGGAGCUGAUCCACCAGGACCAAGAUGUGGAUCGAUGCUGGCAAAAAGGAUCCAGCGGAGCAUGACCCUCUUCCAUCAAGCACCUACAGGAUGGGAAUGAGGUUGCUAAGAAGAAGUCAUUCGUUACACCACCAAGGUUCUUUAGUGUUGACGAGGCGAGAGAACGCUUGCCUUCAGUGAAAAGGAUCUCUGUAAAUAUUUUAAUCCUGGAGACCAUGUAAAAGUCCUAUCCAGAGUUCAAGAAGGCGCAACAGGCAUGGUUGUUAACGUGGAAGGGCAUGUUUUGAUCAUUUUAUCAGACACUACCAAAGGACAUAUCCGCAUGUUUGCAGAUUAUGUUGUGGAGAGUUCUGAGGUCACCACAGGGAUUACAAGAAUAGGUGGAGAGGCUGGCAACUGGCUUUGGUCCUAUCUACUACAUUUUGGUGAGCGUCUCCAGGGGAGGGGAUGAGGUCAGAAGACGGUGUGGUGAAGGAAGUGCUCCCGAUGAGUUCCAACAAGCUUCUGGUGUCACGCGGGCAUGAGGCCGUGGUGAUGGCCAUAGAGAAUGCUGGGCCAGUGCAUUUCUUCAUGACUGGUAUCAUUCGAGAUUCCUAUCGCUGCUCGCAACAGUAUCUUGAACCAAUGACAUUUCAAAUUUGCAUCUUUCAGAAAUUGGACAUAUUAUUCUCUUAUAUAGAGAAAGCUCAAUAUAAAUGUACAAGCAUAAUUCCUACUGAUGAGUGAUCAGUUUAGCAACAAGUAGAUGGUAUUCAGCCCCUGCAUAUUGUGAAAAUAGAAAUAAGGAAUAUAUUUCAUUUAGCAUAGAGUUGUCUUCUAAUUAGAUUUAAAAAUACUGACAACAUAUGGGUUUGUAUGCCCUCCAUUAUUGACACGAUGAUCCAUGAACUACAUUCUUGAAGAUGUUAUUUUAAGCAAGAUUACUGUGUAUUUAAUUAACUCUCUAUAUUUUUCCUUUUUAUGCUUUGGAUACUGAAGAUGAUUUAGUUUCAUCAACUCUCUAUAUGAAGGUUGCUUUACUUAAUCUCACUGAAAUAUCAUCAACUUGGGCAAGGGUUAUUGAUGUCAUGGAUAGUGAGGUAUCAUUACAGCGCACCACCCAGUAUGGAUAAUCCUUAAUAUUUUCUUUCCUUUAUUUUCAAUUCUUCUUUUUUUCCUUUAAAUUCAGUCAGUGUCAAGAUUGUUUGGUUUUAUUGGGGCUGGUGCUAUGCUGGGGCAACUUUUUUGUUCAUUGUUUGCUGCAAGCAUGGCAUGGCUGGGACCUAUACGUACCAUUUAUCUAAGAAGAUUAUCUUAAUAACAUAAUAAAUACAUGUAUAGUAUUUAAUGAAAUGUAAUAUCUGAAUGAACAGUUAUGCUUUUAUUGUCAUCCCUCUUGCUGGAACUUGCUACUAUAUGAUCUAUAAAGGAAUUAUUUUUUUUGAACGAACAUCUAUAAAGGAAUUCACAUUGAUGAUAUUCAGGGUUCAACUGAACUGUUGGAGGGUACAUGAUUUUUCAGAAAAUUUUCAAUUGCAUAAAUUAUUUUGUUCUGAGCAGUAUAUGAUGUUCUCCAGUGAUUUCUUCUUAUUGCUUUGAGAUGACCAAUCUGCAAUCCCGCGUCUUCUGUAGACAAAUUUUGUGGUUCAUUGCUACCACAAAGAUAAUCCACAUCUCUGUGAUCAACUGUGAUUUUUUUUAAUGAUUCAUGAUGAAAACACAAGUUGGAAAAGUUGCCAUUAGGUAAUCCACAUCUCACGCUUCUUUUUUUUUCCUCCUGAGCUUUAUUUUUGUUUGGACUGCCUUGUACCAUAUUUUUUGCUUCUUAAUAUAAUUGUAGGCAGUCCUCCUGCCCGUUAAAAAGAAAAAGAUUGCAUUUACACUGAAUUUGUAGGCAGCACUAGGAUUUGGUUUGGCAUUUACACUGAAGUUGGAAAAGUGCAGUUGUCUUAUCCUUCUUUUACUUUCAGGUAUGGUUAUAAAUAUGUAUCUCUACAUGCACUGUCAAGCUUGCAUGUAAUUAUUUGAACAUGUCAUAGUACAAAGAGCACAUCAAUUGCUCUCCAAAUCACCUUUUCUCCAUGAUUUUCAGAAACUAACAAUAAUAGCUACCACAAUUGGAUUUCUGAAAAUUUUUAUUCUGCAGAAAGGAUGUGCAGGAAUUAUUUCUUUCUUAUAAUCUAGAGCAAUUUACUUUUAUAAUUUUUCAAAUAUGUUAUUGGCAUGAUGAUGUAAUAAUGGACAAUGAUCGUAUGCAUUGGAUGAUGCAAAAUGUCGGAUCUUUAUCCAUUUUCUAUUCUAAAAAAGGAAGGUUGGAGCAUUAUGAAUACCUUGACAAUUUAUUUCAUAAUAUAUUUCCAGUAUGUUUUUCCAGUAUUCAUUACCAUUUUUGUGAUGGUUCUCUUUCAUCAAAUUUAUGUGAUAAAUUGAAUCUAUCUUUCUUGUUAAAGGGUAUACAAGGAGGAUAAGCUUGGUAACCUCCAUUCCUGUUCAUUCCAUUUGACCCAUCCCAUAUUCAGAUUUCUAUCUGACGCAGUUAUUAUCUUAAACCACGUUAGCUUCAAUUAUUGUUCAUCAAUCGUACUGCCCUAGCUUUUAUUCAUUUUGUAUCACACUGCGACGACGAUAUCUAUUCGUUGAAGCAGAUGUCUACAAUCAUAUUAUCGUGGCUACAAAAUUUCUUAUUGAUUAGGAUAUCUUAAGUAUUAUUUUUUAUAAAAUAUAUUAAUCAUUUAAUUCUCUACUAUUAUAUAAUGUAUAAUACAUGUAUGUGUAAUAUUUUAUUUUUUAACUCAUACGCAUUACGCAUAUAGAAUGCAGCAUCUGACCACAGCCUGAUAUCUUUAGAAAUGUUGUAGGAGACCCGCAUCAUCAGCACUAAAAGGUGAUAGAAGCACGUAACCAUGAUACACCAAGUUGCAGGGAUGAUAAAAGAUGUACCCCUCCUCCAUGUAAUGUUCUGAAAAUAAAUUUUGAUGGGGCUUUUAGACAGCAAGAGAAAGAUGGGGCAUGGGGUUUUCUGAUAAGAGAGUGAUGGUCACGGGGUGCUGGCAAGAACUUGGCGUCUCACGGCAGUGCACCAUGCUUUGGUGGCUGAAGGUGAAGCUUGUUUGGCAGCGCUCCGAGCAGCAACGGAGCUGGGGAUCUCCAGAAUCAUUCCGGAAACAGACUCAAAGAAUCUGGUUCAGGCCAUUACAACCAGUGACUUUGAUCAGGCACCAGGUGGAGUCAUUUUCAGAGAAAUAAAGGAGAUGCUGUCGCUGCAUUUUAAUCUUGAUAGAAUUGUUUUUUCUACCCGUUCUUGUAAUAAGUGUGCACACGAGUUGGCUCAUUUUGGCCUAGCUAGGGACCCAGAUCAGCCGAUUGUUUGGCUUGAUCCCCUCCCAAGAUUUGUACGGUCUUUGUUGGAUUGCGAUGCUGCUGAUCCAGAAUCUGGUGUUUGAAUGAAUGAGCAAAGGUUCAAAAAAAGGUGAUUUUAGUAGUGUCGUUAAUUAUCUUAGUAUUAGUAUUGAUGUUCAUUUAUAAAGUAUAUAUAUAUUAUAUCUGCUACUCCUUCAAUAUUUUAAUAGCUUUAUUGCAGUCGUUAGAAUUGGUCUACUUUAGGUGCUAAUUUGAUGCCAUCACGCAACACAGGCCUGUAGUGAAGUACGUCUAUGAGUAUAUAUUAUAAGCACCUUUGUGCGAGUCCCUCGAUUAGAUUGUAUAAGAUUAGACUUGAUUAUUAUAAUACAUUAAUAAAUAAUUCAAAAAUUUAGUAGUCUUGAUGCAAUUUAAUUAUUUUUAAAUGAUUUUUCUUUAAACACGUGCGUGCAUCCCCACUAGUCACGUAUUAAAGGCGUAACAACGAGCACAGCCAUAGUGUAAAAAGAUCAGGUACUUUUUACAGUCUCAGACUGCUCGUUUUGGAUAACUUCAACCUCCCGUGAAUCACGCCAUCAAUAGCUCUUAGUUGUAAAGGCAACAACAAAUUUUUCCACCCCUAAUUAUAUCCCAAUUAACUGCCAUUUUCUCUCUCCCUCAUCACAGGGGCUCUUGUGAAAUCGCCGGAGACACUCAACGCCAUAUCCAACCUAGUCCCUCCCCCACCCAUCACGGUGCUUGCCCGACCACCCCAUGGGCGUUGCGUCGAUUCGGCCGUAUUCCAUCCGCCCAUGCUACUCCGCCGCUGCCUUCCCCAGCCGGAGCCGGCGGCCAUCCAAGUGGCCUUCGACCGCCGAGCUCCUCCACCAUUGGCGUCUCUAGGUUAGUGUGCAACCCUUUGAUCCCGUCCUUCUCAUAUGAAAGGAUCACCAGGUAGAAAUCUCUUUUCACACACCCAAGCAAUUGUUGAUCCAGUAGUAUUCCCCCUUCCCAUGCCCAAUCUCAUCUCACACCCAUUUAUGAUCUGGGAGUUGAUUAUGCAAGCUUCGGAAGUUAGUACAUGGUGAAAUCAAUUUUUUAUUGAAAUAGCGUUAUGGAGCCAGCGAGAAAUUUGGAUGCUACAACGUCCGCCGAGAAACAAAAAACCUUCAUACCU